AAGGUUAAGCCUCACGGUUCAUUAGUACCGGUUAGCUCAACGCAUCGCUGCGCUUACACACCCGGCCUAUCAACGUCGUCGUCUUCAACGUUCCUUCAGGAGACUUAUAGUCUCAGGGAGAACUCAUCUCGGGGCAAGUUUCGUGCUUAGAUGCUUUCAGCACUUAUCUCUUCCGCAUUUAGCUACCGGGCAGUGCCAUUGGCAUGACAACCCGAACACCAGUGAUGCGUCCACUCCGGUCCUCUCGUACUAGGAGCAGCCCCCCUCAGUUCUCCAGCGCCCACGGCAGAUAGGGACCGAACUGUCUCACGACGUUCUAAACCCAGCUCGCGUACCACUUUAAAUGGCGAACAGCCAUACCCUUGGGACCUACUUCAGCCCCAGGAUGUGAUGAGCCGACAUCGAGGUGCCAAACACCGCCGUCGAUAUGAACUCUUGGGCGGUAUCAGCCUGUUAUCCCCGGAGUACCUUUUAUCCGUUGAGCGAUGGCCCUUCCAUUCAGAACCACCGGAUCACUAUGACCUGCUUUCGCACCUGCUCGCGCCGUCACGCUCGCAGUCAAGCUGGCUUAUGCCAUUGCACUAACCUCCUGAUGUCCGACCAGGAUUAGCCAACCUUCGUGCUCCUCCGUUACUCUUUAGGAGGAGACCGCCCCAGUCAAACUACCCACCAGACACUGUCCGCAACCCGGAUCACGGGUCCACGUUAGAACAUCAAACAUUAAAGGGUGGUAUUUCAAGGUCGGCUCCAUGCAGACUGGCGUCCACACUUCAAAGCCUCCCACCUAUCCUACACAUCAAGGCUCAAUGUUCAGUGUCAAGCUAUAGUAAAGGUUCACGGGGUCUUUCCGUCUUGCCGCGGGUACACUGCAUCUUCACAGCGAGUUCAAUUUCACUGAGUCUCGGGUGGAGACAGCCUGGCCAUCAUUACGCCAUUCGUGCAGGUCGGAACUUACCCGACAAGGAAUUUCGCUACCUUAGGACCGUUAUAGUUACGGCCGCCGUUUACCGGGGCUUCGAUCAAGAGCUUCGCUUGCGCUGACCCCAUCAAUUAACCUUCCGGCACCGGGCAGGCGUCACACCGUAUACGUCCACUUUCGUGUUUGCACAGUGCUGUGUUUUUAAUAAACAGUUGCAGCCAGCUGGUAUCUUCGACUGAUUUCAGCUCCAUCCGCGAGGGACUUCACCUACAUAUCAGCGUGCCUUCUCCCGAAGUUACGGCACCAUUUUGCCUAGUUCCUUCACCCGAGUUCUCUCAAGCGCCUUGGUAUUCUCUACCUGACCACCUGUGUCGGUUUGGGGUACGAUUUGAUGUUACCUGAUGCUUAGAGGCUUUUCCUGGAAGCAGGGCAUUUGUUGCUUCAGCACCGUAGUGCCUCGUCAUCACGCCUCAGCCUUGAUUUUCCGGAUUUGCCUGGAAAACCAGCCUACACGCUUAAACCGGGACAACCGUCGCCCGGCCAACAUAGCCUUCUCCGUCCCCCCUUCGCAGUAACACCAAGUACAGGAAUAUUAACCUGUUUCCCAUCGACUACGCCUUUCGGCCUCGCCUUAGGGGUCGACUCACCCUGCCCCGAUUAACGUUGGACAGGAACCCUUGGUCUUCCGGCGAGCGGGCUUUUCACCCGCUUUAUCGUUACUUAUGUCAGCAUUCGCACUUCUGAUACCUCCAGCAUACCUCACAGUACACCUUCACAGGCUUACAGAACGCUCCCCUACCCAACAACACACAGUGUCGCUGCCGCAGCUUCGGUGCAUGGUUUAGCCCCGUUACAUCUUCCGCGCAGGCCGACUCGACCAGUGAGCUAUUACGCUUUCUUUAAAUGAUGGCUGCUUCUAAGCCAACAUCCUGGCUGUCUGGGCCUUCCCACAUCGUUUCCCACUUAACCAUGACUUUGGGACCUUAGCUGGCGGUCUGGGUUGUUUCCCUCUUCACGACGGACGUUAGCACCCGCCGUGUGUCUCCCGUGAUAACAUUCUCCGGUAUUCGCAGUUUGCAUCGGGUUGGUAAGUCGGGAUGACCCCCUUGCCGAAACAGUGCUCUACCCCCGGAGAUGAAUUCACGAGGCGCUACCUAAAUAGCUUUCGGGGAGAACCAGCUAUCUCCCGGUUUGAUUGGCCUUUCACCCCCAGCCACAAGUCAUCCGCUAAUUUUUCAACAUUAGUCGGUUCGGUCCUCCAGUUAGUGUUACCCAACCUUCAACCUGCCCAUGGCUAGAUCACCGGGUUUCGGGUCUAUACCCUGCAACUUAACGCCCAGUUAAGACUCGGUUUCCCUUCGGCUCCCCUAUUCGGUUAACCUUGCUACAGAAUAUAAGUCGCUGACCCAUUAUACAAAAGGUACGCAGUCACCCCAUAAAAGAGGCUCCCACUGCUUGUACGUACACGGUUUCAGGUUCUUUUUCACUCCCCUCGCCGGGGUUCUUUUCGCCUUUCCCUCACGGUACUGGUUCACUAUCGGUCAGUCAGGAGUAUU
RNAcentral lists this ribosomal RNA (2475 nucleotides) under Escherichia coli STEC_MHI813. RNAcentral's name for it is "partial 23S ribosomal RNA". Lineage: Bacteria; Pseudomonadati; Pseudomonadota; Gammaproteobacteria; Enterobacterales; Enterobacteriaceae. The record is from RNAcentral.